RNAcentral lists this unclassified non-coding RNA (348 nucleotides) under Hevea brasiliensis (rubber tree). Lineage: Eukaryota; Viridiplantae; Streptophyta; Magnoliopsida; Malpighiales; Euphorbiaceae. The record is from RNAcentral.
GUGUGUGUGUGUGUGUGUGUGGUGGGGAACAUGGGGAUUUUCAAAAAUACAUUUUAGUUUUAUAUUAUUCACAAUUAUAUUAUUUGUUUAUUUAAAUUUUAGAAGCCUUGGUGCUUAAUGGACAAGCUGUGUAGGAACAAAGACUAGUAUGCAGAGGACAUAAAAGGUUUGCUAGAAUGUAUUUACCGGUAAGUGAAUAUCUGUGCACAGAACAUAUAGGAUGUGCAGAUCAGGAGUCAUGCACAAAAAAAUCUUUUCAAAGAUCAAUUAACACCUACUUGCCUGAGUCUUGUAUCAACUUCUAUAUCUCUUUGGCAUCAUGAAAUAUAAUGAUCAUGCAAUGAUAUU